AUGUAAAACACAGGAUGUGGUGAAGGAAGACUUUGCAAUCUGCUGAGGGGUAGACAUGCUGGGAUAGACGGAGAGGAUCUGGGGCAAGUGUGAGCUAAUGCGACCCCACGACCAACAGGAGGCUCCAGGAGCCAGAAGCUGGCACACUCCUGGAAUGGCUGGCUGACAGCAGGAUACACACUAAAUCCCCAGUCCAGAGCUUCCACGGGUUUUGCAUAUGUAUGAAACAAUGGUGCCCGAGAGGAACACUUGAGGAUGCGGAAACAGGGAAACGGGCUGGCACGGUUUGGUUUUAAAAGGCCGAUGAGAACAUUCUGUCAAGCACAGAAAGACAAAAUCUGCAACUCAUCUGAGGAUCUUCAUGAGCGAGGCGUGGAGGGAGAAGGGCUGCCUCUUUUUCCAAGUUUGGUUCUAAGAGAUGAGCAUUCGCUAACUGGCUGGUUUUAUGACAUCUCGACACAAGCCAGAAAGGAAGACAACCUCAACAGAGAAAAUGUCUCCAUAAGACGCGGCUAUACGUGAGGUGACCUGCGUGUGGGAGUGAUUCCCUUUGCCCCUCACCCUAGCCAUCGGCUGCAGUCCGGGGAGCUGGCUACCGGGUUUGAGAACAGGAGAGCUGGGCUUGCCCCCUCUGCCAAUCCCCCAGUGUCCUAAGCCUGCAGAUUUUCUUUCUGCACAAACAAUCCAACUAUCAGUCCAGAAUGGGGCAGCUGGAGCCAUGCCAGACUUGACCACAGACGGAGCCUCAGAGGAAGGACACCGGAGACGGCAGCAAAUACUCACAAGGCAGGAGCUUGUCCAUAUGACUUUGCUGACAAUUUCACCUCUGCACUCAUAACCCUUCCAGAGCAUGGGUAUAUAUACACUGCUAAUAAGAGCUGGGAUCUAAACCACUAAUACUCAAUAGGACCACACAACACAAGUGGCAGAACCAGGAUCUGAACCAGGUUCACCUGAGUCUGGCUCACCGCCACUAUACAUUUCUCAUCAUAUAUAUAUACAUAUAUAUGUAUAUAUAUAUAUAUGUGUGUGUGUGUGUGUGUGUGUAUACACACAUAUAUAAUGUAUAGACAAGACAUACAUACAUACAUAUAUGUAUAUGUAUGUGUGUGUAUAUAUAUAUGUGUGUGUAUAUAUAUGGAUGUCAUCUCCUAUACCCUGGGAGAAAGAACUGCCCAGCAAUUCUCUCAGGAAGCUGAGUUGAACAGAGAUAUGAGGGUAGUCAGAGAGGCCUCACACAAUUCCAAGUGUGGGUGGACCCCAGCUCUGUUCUUGCUUGCUGUGUGUCCCGGGGCUGGUCCCGGUCCUCUCUGAGCCCUCUGCCAAAUGCUGCAGAGCACACCUCUGACAGGCUGUGCCGUUCCUGCCUCCACCCUCAUAUCACCCCCAUGGAGGGGCAAGGUUAGGAACAGGGAAUGCUGCAGUGACUGGUAUCAGGCUUUACCGAGCAGUGAGUCGGAGCCAGGGUGACACCCUGCAUGCGCUCCCUCCACACUCCUGCACCCUGAGUCCGGCAGACACUAGGAUGUACACACAAGCACUGAGAGACACCCUGGACCAAUGUGGUGGACAUGUCCAGGUAAGGGAAUCACAGGUACUUCUGGGCUCUCUGCCUUGACCCCUCCUGUGGAGUGUAUGAUACAAAUGUGCCAUCCAUCAAAUGGCAGACUCACAGGCACGCUACUUAAUGGUGCAGAAAGGAAGAUGAGAGGCUCUCAGAGCCACGCCUCUGGGGACUGACACUGGGAAACAGCAGGAGCUGUGGAGGUUAGCUAGCGUUUUACAAAGAACACAAAGAAAAAGGAGAUUU
Molecule: long non-coding RNA, 1810 nt
Organism: Apodemus sylvaticus (European woodmouse)
Lineage: Eukaryota; Metazoa; Chordata; Mammalia; Rodentia; Muridae
Exons: 2
Source: RefSeq, a predicted model, not a curated record